AGGAUGAACGCUGGCGGUGUGCCUAAUACAUGCAAGUCGAACGAAGCCCUCGGGCUUAGUGGCGGACGGGUGAGUAACACGUUGGUACCUACCCCGAAGUGGGGAAUAACUGCCCGAAAGGGUGGCUAAUACCGCAUAAUACCGCAAGGUUAAAGCGAGUAAUCGCGCUUCGGGAGGGGCCUGCGUCCCAUUAGCUAGUUGGUGAGGUAAUUGCUCACCAAGGCGACGAUGGGUAGCUGGAUCGAGAGGUUGACCAGCCACACUGGGACUGAGAUACGGCCCAGACUCCUACGGGAGGCAGCAGUAAGGAAUCUUCCACAAUGGACGAAAGUCUGAUGGAGCAACACCGCGUGCAGGAUGACGGCCUUCGGGUUGUAAACUGCUUUUAUAUGGGAAGAUUAUGACGGUACCAUAUGAAUAAGGACCGGCUAACUACGCGCCAGCAGCCGC
Molecule: ribosomal RNA, 450 nt
Filed under: uncultured bacterium
Lineage: Bacteria
Description: SSU rRNA
Rfam family: Bacterial small subunit ribosomal RNA
Source: RNAcentral